UGCGUAGGUGGCGUGGUAAGUCAGAUGUGAAAGCCCGGGGCUCAACCUCGGAAUUGCAUCCGAUACUGCCGUGCUUGAGUACUGGAGAGGUGACUAGAAUUCUAGGUGUAGCAGUGAAAUGCGUAGAUAUCUAGAGGAAUACCAAAGGCGUAGGCAGGUCACUGGACAGUUACUGACACUGAGGCACGAAGGCCAGGGGAGCAAACGGGAUUAGAUACCCUAGUA
RNAcentral lists this ribosomal RNA (225 nucleotides) under uncultured Prosthecobacter sp. RNAcentral's name for it is "partial 16S ribosomal RNA". It matches the Rfam family "Bacterial small subunit ribosomal RNA", at positions 568 to 792 of the family's 1533-position model. Lineage: Bacteria; Pseudomonadati; Verrucomicrobiota; Verrucomicrobiia; Verrucomicrobiales; Verrucomicrobiaceae. The record is from RNAcentral.